Molecule: ribosomal RNA, 494 nt
Filed under: Panthera onca (jaguar)
Lineage: Eukaryota; Metazoa; Chordata; Mammalia; Carnivora; Felidae
Description: partial 16S ribosomal RNA
Rfam family: Bacterial large subunit ribosomal RNA
Source: RNAcentral
CUGUUUACCAAAAACAUCACCUCUAGCAUUUCCAGUAUUAGAGGCACUGCCUGCCCAGUGACAUCAGUUAAACGGCCGCGGUAUCCUGACCGUGCAAAGGUAGCAUAAUCAUUUGUUCCUUAAAUAGGGACUUGUAUGAAUGGCCACACGAGGGCUUUACUGUCUCUUACUUCCAAUCCGUGAAAUUGACCUUCCCGUGAAGAGGCGGGAAUAUGACAAUAAGACGAGAAGACCCUAUGGAGCUUUAAUUAACCGACCCAAAGAGAUCUUGAUAAUCAACCGACAGGGAUAACAUACCUCUACCAUGGGCCGACAAUUUAGGUUGGGGUGACCUCGGAGAAUAAAACAACCUCCGAGUGAUUUAAAUCUAGACUAACUAGUCGAAAGUACUACAUCACUUAUUGAUCCAAAAACUUGAUCAACGGAACAAGUUACCCUAGGGAUAACAGCGCAAUCCUAUUUUAGAGUCCAUAUCGACAAUAGGAUUGCGCUGU